UACGGAGGGGGCUAGCGUUGUUCGGAAUUACUGGGCGUAAAGCGCACGUAGGCGGCUUUGUAAGUUAGAGGUGAAAGCCCGGGGCUCAACUCCGGAAUUGCCUUUAAGACUGCAUCGCUAGAAUUGUGGAGAGGUAAGUGGAAUUCCGAGUGUAGAGGUGAAAUUCGUAGAUAUUCGGAAGAACACCAGUGGCGAAGGCGACUUGAC
RNAcentral lists this ribosomal RNA (207 nucleotides) under uncultured bacterium. RNAcentral's name for it is "partial 16S ribosomal RNA". It matches the Rfam family "Bacterial small subunit ribosomal RNA", at positions 524 to 730 of the family's 1533-position model. The record is from RNAcentral.